RNAcentral lists this ribosomal RNA (671 nucleotides) under uncultured bacterium. RNAcentral's name for it is "bacterial SSU rRNA". It matches the Rfam family "Bacterial small subunit ribosomal RNA", at positions 35 to 739 of the family's 1533-position model. The record is from RNAcentral.
GCUGGCGGUGUGCCUUAGGCAUGCAAGUCGAACGAUAAGCCCACUUCGGUGGGUAGACAGUGGCAGACGGGUGAGUAACACGUGGGAAUCUACCUUAAAAUGGGGAAUAGCCCUCCGAAAGGAGGAGUAAUACCGCAUGUGUCCGCAAGGAUAAAGACUUCGGUCGUUUUAAGAGGAGCCCGCGCCCUAUCAGGUAGUUGGUGAGGUAAUAGCUCACCAAGCCAAUGACGGGUAGCCGAUGUGAGAGCAUGAUCGGCCACAAGGUUACUGAGACACGGAACCUACACCUACGGGUGGCAGCAACCGGGAAUAUUGCGCAAUGGACGAAAGUCUGACGCAGCGACACCGCGUGUGGGAUGAAGCUUUUCGGAGUGUAAACCACUGUGGCAGGGGAAGAAUUUUGACGGUACCCUGCUAGAAAGCACCUGCUAACUACGUGCCAGAAGCCUCGGUAAUACGUAGGGUGCAAGCGUUAUCCGGAUUUAUUGGGCGUAAAGCGUCCGUCGGCGGUUUGAUAAGUCUCUUGUUUAAGCCCAGGGCUCAACUCUGGAAAAGCAAGAGAAACUAUUAAACUUGAGUAUGUGAGAGGUAGCUGGAAUUCUCGGUGGAGGGGUGAAAUCCGUAGAUAUCGAGAGGAACGCCGCGCGCGAAGGCAAGCUACUGGAACAUUA